GUGGAGGAUGCCCCGCAGAGUGAAGCCGAGAUGAUGCAGCCACCAGGGCCGGAGGGGAGGGACAUUUCACUUUUUAAAUCAGCUUUCUAAAGUAUGAUCUCCAUAUAAUCACCUAGAAGCGUACAGCACAAUGGUCUUGACAGAUGCCAGCAUCCUUGGAACCACUGCCACCACCAACGUCUCAAACCAUUCCAUCAAACCCAGAACACUCCUGGUGCCCUGAAGCGUCUCCCUUCAAUGGCAGAACCAGCAGAGAUUCAGUGGUCACAAGGUGAGUGAGGCGGCCUGGGUCUGGCUCCUGGCCAUUAAUUUUAAAUAAUUUGCAUUUAACUUUGAACCACCACACCUGGCCAUAUUGGAUAGUGCAGGAGGAAUAAACUCACUGGCACAUCCUUCUGGGGGUUCUACUGUGUGCCCCUCUCCAAGCGGAGCGUGUGGGAACAGAGAGCAGCAUCCCUGCCACAGUGGGUGGCGGUCUGCUUGUGAGAUAUUUUAUUUUCUUGAAACAAAUAAAAAAGACAAAAGGAUGCAUGGUGUAAAAACUAGUGUUCAGGCUAAAAUCAAAAAACCAUUAGUGGGCAACACAGCACAGAGUGGGCUCUGCCCAGGCCACAUGUG
Molecule: long non-coding RNA, 618 nt
Filed under: Pan troglodytes (chimpanzee)
Lineage: Eukaryota; Metazoa; Chordata; Mammalia; Primates; Hominidae
Description: long non-coding RNA NONPTRT008057
Source: RNAcentral